RNAcentral lists this ribosomal RNA (279 nucleotides) under uncultured bacterium. RNAcentral describes it as "partial 16S ribosomal RNA". It matches the Rfam family "Bacterial small subunit ribosomal RNA", at positions 355 to 626 of the family's 1533-position model. The record is from RNAcentral.
UAGGGAAUCUUCCACAAUGGACGCAAGUCUGAUGGAGCAACGCCGCGUGAGUGAAGAAGGUCUUCGGAUCGUAAAGCUCUGUUGUUGGUGAAGAAGGAUAGAGGCAGUAACUGGUCUUUAUUUGACGGUAAUCAACAAGAAAGUCACGGCUAACUACGUGCCAGCAGCCGCGGUAAUACGUAGGUGGCAAGCGUUGUCCGGAUUUAUUGGGCGUAAAGCGAGCGCAGGCGGAAUGAUAAGUCUGAUGUGAAAGCCCACGGCUCAACCGUGGAACUGCAU